RNAcentral lists this ribosomal RNA (591 nucleotides) under uncultured bacterium. RNAcentral describes it as "bacterial SSU rRNA". It matches the Rfam family "Bacterial small subunit ribosomal RNA", at positions 224 to 806 of the family's 1533-position model. The record is from RNAcentral.
GAUGAGUCCGCGUACCAUUAGCUUGUUGGUAGGGUAAUGGCCUACCAAGGCUACGAUGGUUAGCUGGUCUGAGAGGAUGAUCAGCCACACUGGAACUGAGAUACGGUCCAGACUCCUACGGGAGGCAGCAGUGAGGAAUCUUGCGCAAUGGGGGAAACCCUGACGCAGCAACGCCGCGUGAGUGAAGAAGGCCUUCGGGUCGUAAAGCUCUGUCGGGUGGGAAGAAAUGUAUGCAGGUGAAUAUCCUGUAUAUUUGACGGUACCGCCAAAGGAAGCACCGGCUAACUCCGUGCCAGCAGCCGCGGUAAUACGGGGGGUGCAAGCGUUGUUCGGAAUUAUUGGGCGUAAAGAGCGUGUAGGCGGCGUGAUAAGUCAGAUGUGAAAGCCCUGGGCUUAACCCAGGAAGUGCAUUUGAAACUGUCUUGCUUGAGUACGGGAGAGGGAAGAGGAAUUCCUGGUGUAGAGGUGAAAUUCGUAGAUAUCAGGAGGAACACCGGUGGCGAAGGCGACUUCCUGGCCCGAUACUGACGCUGAGACGCGAGAGCGUGGGGAGCAAACAGGAUUAGAUACCCUGGUAGUCCACGCCGUAAA